Non-coding RNA from Gymnopus androsaceus JB14, 96 nucleotides. The record is from the annotation of a GenBank genome assembly. Lineage: Eukaryota; Fungi; Basidiomycota; Agaricomycetes; Agaricales; Omphalotaceae.
GGCCGCCUGGCGAAAUGGCAUCGCGUCUGACUACGAUAAUAGGAAGAAGGCAUAGAUCGUAUCAGGAGAUUGCAGGUUCGACCCCUGCGGUGGUCA